Molecule: ribosomal RNA, 323 nt
Filed under: uncultured bacterium
Lineage: Bacteria
Description: bacterial SSU rRNA
Rfam family: Bacterial small subunit ribosomal RNA
Source: RNAcentral
GACGAACGCUGGCGGCGUGCUUAACACAUGCAAGUCGAGCGGUAAGGCCCUUUCGGGGGUACACGAGCGGCGAACGGGUGAGUAACACGUGGGUGACCUGCCUUUAGCUCUGGGAUAAGCCUGGGAAACCGGGUCUAAUACCGGAUAUGACUCCGCGGCGCAUGUUGUGGGGUGGAAAGCCUUGUGCGGCUGGAGAUGGGCCCGCGGCCUAUCAGCUUGUUGGUGGGGUGAUGGCCUACCAAGGCGACGACGGGCAGCCGGCCUGAGAGGGCGACCGGCCACACUGGGACUGAGACACGGCCCAGACUCCUACGGGAGGCAGC